CCGGAAGUGUGGGCGCGGCUGCGGUUUAACCCGCGGUGGCGGCGGCGACGGCGGCCCUGGCAGGGAAGGAUGGAGACGCUGAAGGAUAAGACCCUGCAGGAGCUGGAGGAGUUGCAGAAUGACUCGGAGGCGAUUGACCAGCUGGCCCUGGAGUCCCCUGAGGUCCAGGACCUGCAGCUGGAACGGGAGAUGGCACUGGCCACCAACCGGAGCCUGGCGGAGCGGAACUUGGAGUUCCAGGGUCCCCUGGAGAUCAGCCGCUCAAACCUCUCGGAUAAAUACCAGGAGCUCCGGAAGCUCGUGGAGCGGUGCCAGGAGCAGAAGGCAAAGCUGGAGAAAUUUUCUUCAGCAUUGCAGCCGGGGACCUUGUUAGACCUUCUGCAGGUGGAAGGCAUGAAGAUUGAAGAAGAGUCCGAGGUGAGAGGGCGAGGCGACACCCCUCUUCCCUGGACGGGGUGUCAGUCCCUGCAGCAAGGGCCCUUGGAAGGAGGAGCAGAUGUCUGCAAAGCAUGGAACAAGGGAGCUUUCGUAGAUGGCAGAGGUGAAGGACAUCUUUAGUCCUGGGGAGGCCUUUUGGGUAUAAAUAACAGGAACCCAGUCCCACUAGCUGAAGCAGAAUGGGUGGCAGUGGACAAGGGCAGCUCGCAGCCCCGAAUGGUAGGGGAGCACAGCAGGAGGCCUCCAGGGGCUGAGGCCAGCUCCCUACUCCACUCUCCCUGCUUCCCUCUGGCCAUCUCUUCAGCCUCUGUGGGCAAACUGGUGCUGUCCACUCUGUGUCUGGGUGGAAGAAGCUUCUAGGCCCUCCCAGUCCCUGGGCUAGUGCUCAUCCAGGUGUUCAGCGCAUAUAUGCAGUGGCCACUGUGGGCCUGGCAUGAUGCCAGGGUGCCAGGACAGGUGACCACGAC
RNAcentral lists this small RNA (905 nucleotides) under Pongo abelii (Sumatran orangutan). RNAcentral's name for it is "retained intron". Lineage: Eukaryota; Metazoa; Chordata; Mammalia; Primates; Hominidae. The record is from RNAcentral.